GGCAGAGUGGCUGAGUGGUCAAAGCGAUGGUCUCGAAUGGCUGUACUGAAUAGGCUCCCCCCGGACCCUUCUUCGUCUUCUCGACAGGCUGCGGCUUUUGGGGGGGGGGGGGGGCAGCCACGAGGUAACCAUUACGUUCGCGUGCGUAGGUUCGAAUCCUGUCUCUGUCG
Molecule: transfer RNA, 170 nt
Filed under: Escovopsis weberi
Lineage: Eukaryota; Fungi; Ascomycota; Sordariomycetes; Hypocreales; Hypocreaceae
Rfam family: tRNA
About the family: Transfer RNA (tRNA) molecules are approximately 80 nucleotides in length. Their secondary structure includes four short double-helical elements and three loops (D, anti-codon, and T loops). Further hydrogen bonds mediate the characteristic L-shaped molecular structure. tRNAs have two regions of fundamental functional importance: the anti-codon, which is responsible for specific mRNA codon recognition, and the 3' end, to which the tRNAs corresponding amino acid is attached (by aminoacyl-tRNA synthetases). tRNAs cope with the degeneracy of the genetic code in two manners: having more than one tRNA (with a specific anti-codon) for a particular amino acid; and 'wobble' base-pairing, i.e. permitting non-standard base-pairing at the 3rd anti-codon position.
Source: Rfam by way of RNAcentral